Molecule: ribosomal RNA, 253 nt
Filed under: uncultured bacterium
Lineage: Bacteria
Description: partial 16S ribosomal RNA
Rfam family: Bacterial small subunit ribosomal RNA
Source: RNAcentral
UACGAACCGUCCUAACGUUAUUCGGAAUCACUGGGCUUAAAGGGUGCGUAGGCGGCCUGGUAAGUUGGGUGUGAAAUCCCUCGGCUUAACCGAGGAAUUGCGCUCAAGACUGCCCGGCUCGAGGGAGACAGAGGUGAGCGGAACUUAGGGUGGAGCGGUGAAAUGCGUUGAUAUCCUAAGGAACACCGGUGGCGUAAGCGGCUCACUGGGUCUUUUCUGACGCUGAGGCACGAAAGCUAGGGGAGCGAACGGG